UACGUAGGGUGCAAGCGUUUAAUCGGAAUUACUGGGCGUAAAGCGUGCGCAGGCGGUGAUGUAAGACAGGUGUGAAAUCCCCGGGCUUAACCUGGGAACUGCAUUUGUGACUGCAUCGCUGGAGUGCGGCAGAGGGGGAUGGAAUUCCGCGUGUAGCAGUGAAAUGCGUAGAUAUGCGGAGGAACACCGAUGGCGAAGGCAAUCCCCCUGGGCCUGCACUGACGCUCAUGCACGAAAGCGUGGGGAGCAAACAGG
Molecule: ribosomal RNA, 255 nt
Filed under: uncultured bacterium
Lineage: Bacteria
Description: partial 16S ribosomal RNA
Rfam family: Bacterial small subunit ribosomal RNA
Source: RNAcentral